CCUACGGGUGGCUGCAGUGGGGAAUAUUGGACAAUGGGGGCAACCCUGAUCCAGCCAUGCCGCGUGUGUGAAGAAGGCCCUCGGGUUGUAAAGCACUUUCAGUGAGGAAGAACGCCUGGUGGUGAAUACCCAUCAGGAAAGACAUCACUCACAGAAGAAGCACCGGCUAACUCCGUGCCAGCAGCCGCGGUAAUACGGAGGGUGCGAGCGUUAAUCGGAAUUACUGGGCGUAAAGCGCGCGUAGGUGGCUUGAUAAGCCGGUUGUGAAAGCCCCGGGCUCAACCUGGGAACGGCAUCCGGAACUGUCAAGCUAGAGUGCAGGAGAGGAAGGUAGAAUUCCCGGUGUAGCGGUGAAAUGCGUAGAGAUCGGGAGGAAUACCAGUGGCGAAGGCGGCCUUCUGGACUGACACUGACACUGAGGUGCGAAAGCGUGGGUAGCAAACAGGAUUAGAUACCCGUGUAGUC
Molecule: ribosomal RNA, 465 nt
Filed under: Vreelandella stevensii
Lineage: Bacteria; Pseudomonadati; Pseudomonadota; Gammaproteobacteria; Oceanospirillales; Halomonadaceae
Description: partial 16S ribosomal RNA
Rfam family: Bacterial small subunit ribosomal RNA
Source: RNAcentral